RNAcentral lists this ribosomal RNA (463 nucleotides) under uncultured bacterium. RNAcentral describes it as "partial 16S ribosomal RNA". It matches the Rfam family "Bacterial small subunit ribosomal RNA", at positions 28 to 507 of the family's 1533-position model. The record is from RNAcentral.
GAUGAACGCUGGCAGAAUGCUUAACACAUGCAAGUCUUUGGCGAAGCUGUGCUCGCACAGCCUAGCCAAGGCGGACGGGUGAGUAACGCGUAAGGAACUUGCCCUGCAGUCAGGGAUAACAGACUGAAACGACUGAUAAGACCUGGUAAAGUCAGGCGGACUCAUGUCCAGCCUGAUGAAAAGAGAUGCUGCAGGAGAGCCUUGCGUCCUAUUAGCUUGUUGGUGGGGUAACGGCCCACCAAGGCGAUGAUAGGUAGCCGGCCUGAGAGGGUGGACGGCCACAAGGGGACUGAGAUACGGCACUUACUCCUACGGGAGGCAGAAGUGGGGAAUAUUGGACAAUGGGGGCAACCCUGAUACAGAAAUUCUGUGUGCACGAUGAAGGUUUUCGGAUUGUAAAGUGCUUUCAGCAGGGAAGAAAAAAAUGACGGUACCUGCAGAAGAAGCGACGGCUAAAUACGUG